This 119-nucleotide transfer RNA is filed under the name Candidatus Aenigmatarchaeota archaeon. Its description in RNAcentral is "tRNA-Val". It matches the Rfam family "tRNA". From Rfam's summary of the family: Transfer RNA (tRNA) molecules are approximately 80 nucleotides in length. Their secondary structure includes four short double-helical elements and three loops (D, anti-codon, and T loops). Lineage: Archaea; Nanobdellati; Candidatus Aenigmatarchaeota. The record is from RNAcentral.
GGGCCGGUGGUCUAGUACUGCCCUUUUUAUUUUAGAAAAAGAAAUUGAGGGCAAUGGAAAAUGGUUAUGACGCUGCCCUUACAAGGCAGAAACCGCAAGUUCAAUUCUUGCUCGGCCCA